This 241-nucleotide ribosomal RNA is filed under the name uncultured Actinomycetales bacterium. RNAcentral's name for it is "partial 16S ribosomal RNA". It matches the Rfam family "Bacterial small subunit ribosomal RNA", at positions 89 to 334 of the family's 1533-position model. Lineage: Bacteria; Bacillati; Actinomycetota; Actinomycetes; Actinomycetales. The record is from RNAcentral.
ACUCGAGUGGCGAACGGGUGAGUAACACGUGGGUGAUCUGCCCUGCACUCUGGGAUAAGCCUGGGAAACUGGGCCUAAUACCGGAUAGGACCAUGCUUUAGUGUGUGUGGUGGAAAGUUUUUCGGUGUAGGAUGAGCCCGCGGCCUAUCAGCUUGUUGGUGGGGUAAUGGCCUACCAAGGCGGCGACGGGUAGCCGGACUGAGAGGUUGGUCGGCCACAUUGGGACUGAGAUACGGCCCAG